RNAcentral lists this ribosomal RNA (313 nucleotides) under uncultured bacterium. Its description in RNAcentral is "bacterial SSU rRNA". It matches the Rfam family "Bacterial small subunit ribosomal RNA", at positions 28 to 334 of the family's 1533-position model. The record is from RNAcentral.
GGCGAACGCUGGCGGCGCGCCUAACACAUGCAAGUCGAACGGAGCUGAGAGGGGCUUGCUUUUCUUAGCUUAGUGGCGAACGGGUGAGUAACGCGUGAGUAACCUGCCCUGGAGUGGGGGACAACAGUUGGAAACGACUGCUAAUACCGCAUAAGCCCACGGCCCGGCAUCGGGCUGAGGGAAAAGGAUUUAUUCGCUUCAGGAUGGACUCGCGUCCAAUUAGCUAGUUGGUGAGGUAACGGCCCACCAAGGCGACGAUUGGUAGCCGGACUGAGAGGUUGAACGGCCACAUUGGGACUGAGACACGGCCCAG